UAGGGUCAAGCGAACAAGUGCAUGUGGUGGAUGCCUUGGCGAUCACAGGCGAUGAAGGACGCGGUAGCCUGCGAAAAGCUACGGGGAGCUGGCAAACAAGCUUUGAUCCGUAGAUGUCCGAAUGGGGAAACCCACUCCUUUUGGAGUAUCCAUGGCUGAAUACAUAGGCCAUGUGAAGCGAACGCGGUGAACUGAAACAUCUAAGUAACCGCAGGAAAAGAAAUCAACCGAGAUUCCCAAAGUAGUGGCGAGCGAAAUGGGAUGAGCCUUGCACUCUUUAUUUGUAUUGUUAGCCGAACGCUCUGGAAAGUGCGGCCAUAGCAGGUGAUAGCCCUGUAGGCGAAAACAGUAUGAAAGAACUAGGUGUGCGACAAGUAGGGCGGGACACGUGAAAUCCUGUCUGAAGAUGGGGGGACCAUCCUCCAAGGCUAAAUACUCGUGAUCGACCGAUAGUGAACCAGUACCGUGAGGGAAAGGCGAAAAGAACCCCGGGAGGGGAGUGAAAUAGAUCCUGAAACCGCAUGCAUACAAACAGUCGGAGCCUCGUAAGGGGUGACGGCGUACCUUUUGUAUAAUGGGUCAGCGACUUACGUUCAGUAGCAAGCUUAACCGUAUAGGGCAGGCGUAGCGAAAGCGAGUCCGAAUAGGGCGUUCAGUUGCUGGGCGUAGACCCGAAACCAGGUGAUCUAUCCAUGGCCAGGAUGAAGGUGCGGUAACACGUACUGGAGGUCCGAACCCACUAACGUUGAAAAGUUAGGGGAUGAGCUGUGGAUAGGGGUGAAAGGCUAAACAAACCUGGAAAUAGCUGGUUCUCUCCGAAAACUAUUUAGGUAGUGCCUCGUGUCUCACCUUCGGGGGUAGAGCACUGUCAUGGUUGGGGGGUCUAUUGCAGAUUACCCCGCCAUAGCAAACUCCGAAUACCGAAGAGUGCAAUCACGGGAGACAGACAUCGGGUGCUAACGUCCGGUGUCAAGAGGGAAACAACCCAGACCGCCAGCUAAGGUCCCCAAAUAUAGCUAAGUGGGAAACGAAGUGGGAAGGCUAAAACAGUCAGGAGGUUGGCUUAGAAGCAGCCACCCUUUAAAGAAAGCGUAAUAGCUCACUGAUCGAGUCGUCCUGCGCGGAAGAUGUAACGGGGCUAAGCUAUAUACCGAAGCUGCGGAUGCGUGCUU
This 1172-nucleotide ribosomal RNA is filed under the name Burkholderia cepacia. RNAcentral describes it as "23S rRNA. Bacterial LSU". It matches the Rfam family "Bacterial large subunit ribosomal RNA", at positions 1 to 1215 of the family's 2925-position model. The record is from RNAcentral. RNAcentral also lists the same sequence under 1 other name. Lineage: Bacteria; Pseudomonadati; Pseudomonadota; Betaproteobacteria; Burkholderiales; Burkholderiaceae.